AAAAUACUCCCUCCGUCCUAUAUUAAGUGACCUUUUAUUACAUGUAUCUAGACGUUUUUUAGGCAUAGAUACAUACAUAUUUGGUAAAUUCAAGUCACUUAAUAUGAGACGGAGGGAGUAUGUU
Molecule: non-coding RNA, 124 nt
Organism: Brachypodium distachyon (stiff brome)
Lineage: Eukaryota; Viridiplantae; Streptophyta; Magnoliopsida; Poales; Poaceae
Source: Rfam